This 86-nucleotide transfer RNA is filed under the name Felis catus (domestic cat). It matches the Rfam family "tRNA". Rfam says of the family: Transfer RNA (tRNA) molecules are approximately 80 nucleotides in length. Their secondary structure includes four short double-helical elements and three loops (D, anti-codon, and T loops). Further hydrogen bonds mediate the characteristic L-shaped molecular structure. tRNAs have two regions of fundamental functional importance: the anti-codon, which is responsible for specific mRNA codon recognition, and the 3' end, to which the tRNAs corresponding amino acid is attached (by aminoacyl-tRNA synthetases). tRNAs cope with the degeneracy of the genetic code in two manners: having more than one tRNA (with a specific anti-codon) for a particular amino acid; and 'wobble' base-pairing, i.e. permitting non-standard base-pairing at the 3rd anti-codon position. Lineage: Eukaryota; Metazoa; Chordata; Mammalia; Carnivora; Felidae. The record is from Rfam by way of RNAcentral.
GCCUGGGUGGUUCAGUGGGUUAAGCAUCUGACUUUGGCUCAGGUCAUGAUCCCCGCAGUUCGUGGGUUCAAGCCUCACAUCGGGCU